Molecule: long non-coding RNA, 800 nt
Filed under: Homo sapiens (human)
Lineage: Eukaryota; Metazoa; Chordata; Mammalia; Primates; Hominidae
Description: HSALNT0135890
Source: RNAcentral
UAAAUCGUCAUAUAUGGCUCCUACACUCUACCUCCUACCUCAGUGGCACAAAGACAUUGGAUAUACCUGAGGCUGUCUUCACCCAGGUCAUUUCAUGCCUCUUGGGGUGCCCAGCAGACUAGGCACCAGCACAUGGAAAGAAGACCUUGUGACUGCUGGGCCCCUUACCAGGUGGUCUCUCUAUAUUUCAGAGCUGAUCUCUUGAGUAUGGAGGCGGAAAAAUCCAUUCCUGACUGCAGUGGUGAAGUGGAUGCAUGGAAUCCCCAGCAAGGUCCUGGCAGGCAAGUCCUUGUUGGCCCCAAUAAAUCAAUGAUGGUGGCGGGAGACUCACUCCCUCCACGGGCUCCGCAUAAGCCAGAGCACGCAGUGGCAGACAAAGGAGGGUGAAACCAGCAUGUGUGUGCCUCUCAUAAAUGCUUUCCCUAUGUUCAUAAAUUGUCAUUUAAUUUUAAUAACAACCAAUUAGAAGAUGAUUGUGAAACCAUUAAACAGAUGAAUAAACUGAGGCUACCAGAGAUUAUGUCUUUCCCCAGGCUAUACUGCUGGUGGGUAAUCAAGCCAGGAUUACUACCCAGAUUUGUCCGACUGCAAUACUCAUAUUCUUUUUACCAGGCACCGUGCAAAGUGGUGUGCAUGUAUUUUCUCAUUUAAUCAUGAUAAAAAUCCUCAAAGAUGGAUAUUAGCAUCUCAGAUUUACAAAUAAAGAAACUGAAGCUUUGCAGAAUUCAUUAACUUGCCUGAGUUCUUGCUGUUAUGAAGUGGCAGAGGGCACUCCAACCCAAUCUCACUCCAGAGUCCAC